Austrofundulus limnaeus is the source of this 74-nucleotide non-coding RNA. Lineage: Eukaryota; Metazoa; Chordata; Actinopteri; Cyprinodontiformes; Rivulidae. The record is from the annotation of a RefSeq genome assembly.
GGUGCUGUGGCUCAGAUGGUCAAAGUGCCCGUCUCGUAAACAGGAGAUCCUAGGUUCGAAUCCCAGCAGUGCCU